GAUGUCUGUGAGGUUUCCUCCCAAGUGCUCAGAUCGCAGUCCUGGUGGCGUAUUUUUUAGCCUGAAAUCCCAAGCAAUCCGAGGGCUGGGCUGGAUUCUUUACUUCUCACAUCUGGUCCGCAUUAAGCAAACCCUUAAUGCUGCCCAGGCUGAGUACAAGGGCAGCACCUGCAGCACCGGGCAGAGCAGACCCACAGCUGGGGUGAGUUAUAUAUAACCCCAGCAGCUCUUUCUUCAGCUUCAGCUGGGUGCUUGACCCUAAUAUCUGCUGGUGUCUGGCCAAGCAAGGUUGCAGUUGAGAGACGUUGUGGAGCCUCUUCGUCCUUUCUCUUGCGUGCUGAGGUGCUGGCUCCUCGAAAGCAGCUAGCUGUUAAUGUGCUUAAGAGUUCAGCGCAGGACACCUCAUGUUUAUCUGCUCCAUUUUGAAAGUAAACUUCCCGUCAAAUGUAAAACCCAGUUCCUGAACAUCGUUCUGGUGCUAUCAGAAAUUGCAGCCGCCCCUGUGAAGCGGUGAGGGGUGGCUCGCGGUGCGGACGGAGACCCUGCCCUGCUUCGGGGAGCCCGGCUGGGCUGGAAGCAAGCGGUGACGUUGGCCAGGCUGGGGGGUCCCUCCAGGAGGAGAGCUCUGUGCCAAUGCCGUUCCGUGUUACAAUUACAACUAUCAUCAUGUCGACUUUCAGCCACAUUUAGUUUUGCACUCUCCGACUUAGCAGUGUCUGGGAUGAUUGCAGGGCAAGCAUUAUCCGUGUCUGCCCAGCUUUCAGAGCAAGAGGCCACUAACCUGGGAAACAUCCUUAAAAAAAAAAAAAAUCCCAACCCCAUAUGAAUUGAGGCAGAAAGAGCGAUCGCAUACAAAACCGCUGUGAGGAUAAAGACGACUGCUUGCGGAGGUGGAGGGCUGGGGUCCUCCAUCCCCCCUGCCCCGGCAAGCCCCUGCUCUGCCGACACGCAGCGGCCGCUCAACUCCGUUAUUGCCGAAUAUACUUCUCCGAGAUGAGACGUACCAGCAGCUUCAUGAGUCAUUUGCCAUCCUUUGCGAGCACUCGCUCGAAUAACCUUGCACGGGACUUUCCAGAGAGCCAAAGCUCAGUCGGAGGUCAUCCUUCCAAAAGCCAGGCACCUCAAGAAUCAGCGUAUAUAUACGUAUAU
Long non-coding RNA from Aquila chrysaetos chrysaetos, 1149 nucleotides. RefSeq lists it as uncharacterized. The transcript has 5 exons. The record is from RefSeq and is a predicted model, not a curated record. Lineage: Eukaryota; Metazoa; Chordata; Aves; Accipitriformes; Accipitridae.